Molecule: unclassified non-coding RNA, 298 nt
Filed under: uncultured fungus
Lineage: Eukaryota; Fungi
Description: partial contains small subunit ribosomal RNA, internal transcribed spacer 1, and 5.8S ribosomal RNA
Rfam family: Eukaryotic small subunit ribosomal RNA (bases 1-73)
Source: RNAcentral
ACAAACUUGGUCAUUUAGAGGAAGUAAAAGUCGUAACAAGGUCUCCGUUGGUGAACCAGCGGAGGGAUCAUUAUCGAGUGUAAAAACUCCCAAACCCUUUGUGAACCUUACCAAAACGUUGCUUCGGCGGCACGCUCCGGAGGGGGGCUCUCCGCUCCCCCCCGGGCCCCAGCUGCCGCCGAGGGCACCCAAACUCUUGUUUCCACAGCGAGUAUUUCUUCUGAGUGGCACAAGCAAAAAAUGAAUCAAAACUUUCAACAACGGAUCUCUUGGUUCUGGCAUCGAUGAAGAACGCAGC